RNAcentral lists this long non-coding RNA (335 nucleotides) under Suricata suricatta (meerkat). RNAcentral's name for it is "lncRNA (ENSSSUG00005020551.1)". The record is from RNAcentral. Lineage: Eukaryota; Metazoa; Chordata; Mammalia; Carnivora; Herpestidae.
CUUGCGGAGGGGCAGGCGGCCCAGGAACCCUGUGACCGGUAGUAACCUGAAGCGGGACUUUUAAGUGUAGAGAGUGGACAAGACGCCCAGUCUUGAGGGUUUUCCUUUGGCCCAAGCUUUCCGGGAUGUGGAUUGGGCGGAGGAUGGGCUCAGGGCCAGGAUGGAGGGCCAGAGACCCUGGUGAGGUAUUAGCUGACAUGAGAGAAAGAAAGGUGCAUUGGAGUCGGCAAGGUCGUAAUUUCGUAUUCUUGGUCAACUUCGUAGUGUCUGCACCUCUCUCCCAAGUCCACUAAGCUUGCAAAAUAAACACUGCUGGAGACAGAUUUGUGAAUUAG